This 246-nucleotide ribosomal RNA is filed under the name uncultured bacterium. RNAcentral describes it as "partial 16S ribosomal RNA". It matches the Rfam family "Bacterial small subunit ribosomal RNA", at positions 57 to 305 of the family's 1533-position model. The record is from RNAcentral.
GCAAGUCGAACGGUAACAGAACUAGCUUGCUAGUUGCUGACGAGUGGCGGACGGGUGAGUAAUACUUAGGGAUCUGCCUCUGCGUGGGGGAUAACUAUUGGAAACGAUAGCUAAUACAGCAUAACGUCUACGGAACAAAGAAGGCUUUCGAGUUCUCGCGCAAGGAGGAGCCUAAGCGGGAUUAGCUUGUUGGUGAGGUAAAGGCUCACCAAGGCGACGAUCUCUAGCUGGUCUGAGAGGAAGAUC